Molecule: long non-coding RNA, 1370 nt
Organism: Varroa destructor (honeybee mite)
Lineage: Eukaryota; Metazoa; Arthropoda; Arachnida; Mesostigmata; Varroidae
Source: RefSeq, a predicted model, not a curated record
GUGGGUGUCUGUCCGGGAAUGUGUUUGCAAUUGCUGAGCCUCUCAAACAACGAGGUCGCCUGCCAUAGGUGCCCGUAAAUCCGCCAACACGGUUCUUCUUCAAGGUGGGUUUCGAUUCUAUCGGAUCGCUGCGCAUCAUCUCGUUCAUCUUUUCUGAGGUCGGCUCAUGGACUGCACGAGAUCUUAUAUACACCCUUCAGAAUUGUUGGGAAGCUAUAGAAGCCGGCGUCACUGACAACGCUAGUUAUGUUCAGGCUUCUAAAAUGCAGGAAACAUAGGGCCACACCAUAGGGUAUUCAUUUAAAAGAAAGAUGAGUGGGUGAGUGAAGGAUGUGACUGGAUGCACUCGAGGCAGUAACGAAAACGCUGGCGAGAUGUGAGCAACUGUUGAGGAGUCCGUCGAGUCUCUGAAGCAAGUUGCUUCGCGUUCGGGACUUCUAUAAAGGCGUCACAGCAUCUUUACAUGUGCCAACUGUCGAGUGUCCCUGCAUGCUGAGCCUAAAAUUAAGAAAAUCGCACGGAAAUAUACCCCAAGCAAGAAAUAAAUAACGCCUAUAACGGGAUCGCAAACCUCAAAUAUAGCUAAACUUAAAAAAAGCAAUGACUCUGACACUGCAGGGAAGAAUGACAGAAUGAACUGCUUCCAGAACAAUAUUGCAUGAAAAAAAUGUCUAGCAGCUUUUAGAAUACCAGGGAAAUCACAAGCAAAAGACCCCUAUAAGGAACUUUUAUAAUCACUACCGAUUCUUAGUAGACAAGUUAAGUAGCUUCAGUUCCGUCUAGCUUUCAACCAAGAAAAUUGACAAGCGUUCAUAAAUUUGAACAUCAGGUUUCCUUACUGCAAAUUUCGGGUCAUCAAAUUGCUUUGGAUAAAAUGUUUCCCUAUUAUCGAAAACCAAGGUGUGCAAUUAGAAAACCUCUGGUACGUUAUUUUAUUAGUGGAGACUCUUUUCUGAGGAAAAAUCUUUGGAACGCUGACUCAAGUGCGAACUCUUUAGUUUUAGCGUAACAUAUUUUCGACUUGGAUAAAUAAUAGGCUGGAACAAAAGGUGUUACACAAAGGCGCAUCGCUUAUAUCAAAGGGCUGGUCGAAGUUGCGAAGGAUAUAAUCAUCUUGGUCAAAACGAGCACACUAUUGCAUAGUUGGCGACCUAAUGAUGCCUGUACUAAUCAAUAUAAUAAGGCAAGAGUUAGUUUGACGAAAUGUAUUGCGGUAUUUGUCCUUCGUCAAAGCCGGACCUUUGCAAUACCAUAUUGCUUUAAUAAGCAGUGGGGGGAACUAUUAUUCUCAAGACAUAGGAGACGUAUAUUAUCUAAGCCAAUUCUGUUUAGUUGAGGCAAUUUCAUCCGGCUUGAAAGAUAUUCGUAUA